Long non-coding RNA from Gadus morhua (Atlantic cod), 2005 nucleotides. RefSeq lists it as uncharacterized. NCBI's taxonomy places the organism in Eukaryota, Metazoa, Chordata, Actinopteri, Gadiformes, Gadidae. The record is from RefSeq and is a predicted model, not a curated record. The transcript has 5 exons.
GGUCACCGUUUGUGUGGAGUGGCUUUUCUUCGCUGCCCCUUUGUUGAUAGUGUGUCUGGCGCGGGUGGCGUUGCCCUCACGUUUUCAUUGUGGUUAUUUUCCGCUUCUCGUAAGCCCUAUGACUUUCUAUCGCAUUGAGUCUUGUUGUUCCAGCAGCCCACAGAGAAGAUGUCUCGGGCUGGGCUGGAGAGGGGGGAGGCGGUGGUAGUGGUGGUGGAGACAGUUUUUCCUGUCCUUACUUCCUCUACCAGGCUAGCAGGGGUAGCAGGUAAAGUAUUUAGCGUCAGCCCUGUGUUUAUUUUACUCGCUGCUCUCCCCCUGCGCUCUGCAGGUUAGAGCUCCCCCUUGAGGCGGUGGUGGUCGCGCGGAGUGGUUGGAAUAUACAGAGAGUUAUUACGAAGCCACUUCCCUAUGGGUUUCGCCGUCUGUCUAUCUGUCUGUCUUUUAGAGUCACAUGACGCAUGGGCAAAAAGAGGAGUGUUGCCUGGAGACCAAUCUGUCAUUCCAGCAUCCCUUUAUUGGAGGAGGGACCAAACAAUAUAGGUUGGCACAAUACUGUUCCAGAAUAUCUCCAGAAUAUUAUGUUUGCCUCUUGUAUCAGUAGGGUAGAAAGCAGUUAGCUAGCUAGCUGGGGACCCUUAAGGCUGUCGAACAGAGAAAGUCGUUGCAAAGUUCCUGAAAGAAGUGUGUUGGUAAUGGCAGCUUUGGGACAUUCGUAAGUGAACCCGGGAAACUCAAGCCUGGAGUCUAGACAACAAUAUCAAGUUGAAAAGAAAUGGGGGGAAACUUACUUAAGUUGUGAAAGUCUCUCUCUAACUCUGUCUGUCUCUAUCUAGCUCUUCCUCUGUUUCUCUCUAUCCCUAUGUUUAGAUCCAACCAAACAGAAGCAUCGCUAAAAGAAAAAGGAUAGCGGAGAGUGAUCAUUAGAAACCAGGGUGAUUAGGAGUGGAGCACCCAUAGUGGCUGGUACCUGGCUUUUCCCGAAAAGACUCCUCUGGCGCUGAUAGCAGUCAACCAAAGGUUUCACCGGGAGCCCGGUCGUUCCCACCGCCACAACCCAUGUGCCAUGUUGUUCUGAGCCAACACACUUCUGCUCUCAGGUCUUCUGCAAGGCGUCCUUCAUCAAGGCUGCGAUGGCUCCGCGUGGUCUGAUGAUGAGAUCAGCGCGCAGGGCUGACAGACUGGGGGGUAUGGAGGUUCUCCAAGAGCGCCGCACACCAGGAGAGGCAGUCGACUAUAUCAUCAUAACCCUUCGGCAACGGCACAGUGAACAAACAUGUGGCGGGAUCCGGGAGAAGGCUUCGGGGCGAAAGAAACUUGUGGAAAAUACGAAAAUAUGAAAUCCUCGGUGGCAACAGUGUGUAUGUGGUGUGCUUGCACUGAAGUGAGCCUGUGCCGCCACUAGAUGGCGUCAGAUCCCACUGAAGCGCUCGAGGGACCGCGGUCGAAGCAAGACAAUAACAAGAGGCCGGCAAGAACAGCGAGGCCUCCGCUGAUGCGUGAAGACCUCGGAGAGCGGUGGGGGCAUCGUCACCUUGCCCAGAGACCCCCAGUACAAUCUUCCACUGCCCGGGCCGUGUUUACCACAACCGCUACCACCACCACCACCACUGCUGCCAAUGCACAGUUCAUAAAUAGAGCGGCACGUGAUAUACCAUGAGACCAGCUUGUUUUAUUAAAAUGGAAAUCAUAAUCACCACGCUUGCAUCCCCCUCUGCCCUUCACCCUCUCUUAAAGGCCAGGCUAAUUACCCGCACGCUGCUGAUAGCCAUACGAUUUAUCUGUAUUAUCUUUAGUUUAUUGUAAUCUGUGAAGGAACCUUGUUAUUAUCACUAGUUUGAUUAUUUUUUAAUAGUGUAGCCUGUACGGUUAAUAAUGUUUUCCUGAACUGUCAAUAAUCGUAUUAUUGUUAUGCCGGUACAUUCCGCUGUUCAUUUCUACCACACAUAAUCAUGUAGGCUGUAUUUAUGUAUACCAUUUUUCUCUUAAAUAACUUUUAAAAUCA